Molecule: ribosomal RNA, 878 nt
Filed under: Stenotrophomonas geniculata
Lineage: Bacteria; Pseudomonadati; Pseudomonadota; Gammaproteobacteria; Lysobacterales; Lysobacteraceae
Description: bacterial SSU rRNA
Rfam family: Bacterial small subunit ribosomal RNA
Source: RNAcentral
AUUGAACGCUGGCGGCAGGCUUAACACAUGCAAGUCGAGCGGGGAAGGGUAGCUUGCUACCUGACCUAGCGGCGGACGGGUGAGUAAUGCUUAGGAAUCUGCCUAUUAGUGGGGGACAACAUUCCGAAAGGAAUGCUAAUACCGCAUACGCCCUACGGGGGAAAGCAGGGGAUCUUCGGACCUUGCGCUAAUAGAUGAGCCUAAGUCAGAUUAGCUAGUUGGUGGGGUAAAGGCCUACCAAGGCGACGAUCUGUAGCGGGUCUGAGAGGAUGAUCCGCCACACUGGGACUGAGACACGGCCCAGACUCCUACGGGAGGCAGCAGUGGGGAAUAUUGGACAAUGGGCGCAAGCCUGAUCUAGCCAUGCCGCGUGUGUGAAGAAGGCCUUUUGGUUGCAAAGCACUUUAAGCGAGGAGGAGGCUACUUGGAUUAAUACUCUAGGAUAGUGGACGUUACUCGCAGAGUAUGUGCCGGCUAACUCUGUGCCAGCAGCCGCGGUAAUACAGAGGGUGCGAGCGUUAAUCGGAUUUACUGGGCGUAAAGCGUGCGUAGGCGGCUUUUUAAGUCGGAUGUGAAAUCCCUGAGCUUAACUUAGGAAUUGCAUUCGAUACUGGGAAGCUAGAGUAUGGGAGAGGGAUGGUAGAAUUCCAGGUGUAGCGGUGGAAUGCGUAAGAUCUGGAGGAGUACAGAUGGCGAGGCAGCCAUCUGGCCUAAUACUGACGCUGAGGUACGAAAACCUGGGGGAGCAAACAGGAUUAAUUAUCCUGGUGUGCCAUGGGCGAAUUCCACAGUGAGAUCAGGGUUAUCGAGACCCUCCACCUCGGGGGGGGCCCGGGGCCCCCCUUGUGGUCCCUUUCUCCGCCUUUUUUUAGAAUAGC